CAAGGGGNGGGGGCANGCGUUGUUCGGAAUUACUGGGCGUAAAGGGCGCGUAGGCGGUUUCGGAAGUUAUGGGUGAAAGCCCCCGGCUUAACUGGGGAAUGGCCUGUAAAACCACGGGACUGGAGUGCUGGAGAGGGAAGUGGAAUUCCCAGUGUAGCGGUGAAAUGCGUAGAUAUUGGGAGGAACACCAGUGGCGAAGGCGGCUUCCUGGACAGACACUGACGCUGAGGCGCGAAAGCCAGGGNGAGCGAACGGGAUUAGAUACCCCGGUAGUCCUGGCUGUAAACGAUGAAUACUUGGUGUGGGGGGUAUAGAAGUCCCUCUGUGCCGAAGAGAACUCGAUAAGUAUUCCGCCUGGGGAGUACGGCCGCAAGGCUGAAACUCAAAGGAAUUGACGGGGGCCCGCACAAGCGGUGGAGCAUGUGGUUUAAUUCGACGCAACGCGAAGAACCUUACCGGGGUUUGAACUGUAUCGGCAACCUGUCUAGAAGCAGGGUUUCCUUAGGGGACUGAUACAGAGGUGCUGCAUGGCUGUCGUCAGCUCGUGUCGUGAGAUGUUGGGUUAAGUCCCGCAACGAGCGCAACCCUUGUCUGUAGUUGCCAUCAGGUUAAAGCUGGGCACUCUACGGAGACUGUCGGCGAAAA
Molecule: ribosomal RNA, 645 nt
Filed under: uncultured bacterium
Lineage: Bacteria
Description: bacterial SSU rRNA
Rfam family: Bacterial small subunit ribosomal RNA
Source: RNAcentral